UGAACUGAAGUGGGGUGAAGACAC
RNAcentral lists this non-coding RNA (24 nucleotides) under Cricetulus griseus (Chinese hamster). The record is from RNAcentral. Lineage: Eukaryota; Metazoa; Chordata; Mammalia; Rodentia; Cricetidae.